AAGGAAAGACACAGAUUCUGGUGAUACCACCACCAGUGUAUCCUGGAAAUGUAGAAGGGAUGUUUGGUAAAUCAGACUUUGAUGAGCUGCUACUUGUUUUGGAUGGAUUUAGUUUGAUGACGUAUCAUUUCUCCAAUCCAUCUUGAUCAUAACCAAACAGCCCGUUAUCUUGGAUGGAGUCCUGUGUUUUGGCCCUCGCCCCUGAUGAUAACCCCGAGGUCAGACAGAAAAUUCUCCUGGGGCUACAUUUUUACGGCAAUGAAUACUCAGUUGGAGGGGGAGGUCCUAUCGUAGGCAG
Molecule: long non-coding RNA, 298 nt
Organism: Saccostrea cuccullata (small rock oyster)
Lineage: Eukaryota; Metazoa; Mollusca; Bivalvia; Ostreida; Ostreidae
Exons: 3
Source: RefSeq, a predicted model, not a curated record